ACUACUAACAAUCACACACCCAAGGUCCUGGAAAGAAAUAAGAGAGGAUAGAGUGAGCCUGGCCCAGCUGUGAUUCUCAGAAGACAGAGCACUGAGCACAUGCACCAUGGCCUGGACUCCUCUGUCACUUCUCAUCCUCACUCUCUGUACAGGCUCUGUGACCUCCAGUGAACUGACUCAGCCUCCCUCAGUGUCAGUUGCCCUGGGUCAGACGGCUACAGUCACCUGCACUGGAGGGGAGUUAGAGUAUUUGUAUGUACACUGGUACCAGCAGAAGCCAGGCCAAGCCCCUUUGACAAUCAUUUAUGGUGAUAAGGAGAGGCCCUCAGGGAUCCCAGAGCGAUUCUCUGGCUCCAAGUCGGGGAGCACGGCCACCCUGACCAUCAGCAGCGCACAGGCUGAGGACGAGGCUGACUAUUACUGUCAGUCCUUUGACAUCAGUAGUAAAGCUCACGGUGACACAUGCACAUGGGGAAGUGAGACAGAAACCCCUUCCCCACCUGUGUCACCCUCUCCUCUCAGCCCCAGGAGACCAAUGCCCAGAGCAGUGAGCACGUCUGGCCCAGGUCCCGGGUCUGAGGUCCCUAGUUUGCCCCCUUCCGCCCAGUCCUCCAGGCAGACUGCACAGGGCAGAUCAGCAUGGAACUUGUAA
Mustela lutreola (European mink) is the source of this 652-nucleotide non-coding RNA. Lineage: Eukaryota; Metazoa; Chordata; Mammalia; Carnivora; Mustelidae. The record is from the annotation of a RefSeq genome assembly.